GGUUUCAUGAAUUACUGUAUAUUGUAUCUAAAGAAAAUUUUUCUUAAGUUUACAAUGCUUAAGGAAAUAAUGUGAACUAUCCUUCCAAGGAACAGCUUCCAUAGAUGAGGUACAUUAAUCCACAGUGAGUGAGCUCCACAAUUGUUGGAGUCCCAUUGCUCGACUAGAAUGGAAACAGGCCUGUAUGGAAAGAAAAGUCUAAUUAAAGUUUGAGGUGAAUCCUUUUUCAGAGGAGGGUAAUGGCGAUUGCAUCCAAGGCCUAGCACUCUACCACUGAACUAUAUGUCCAGCCCCUGAGGUGUGUGUCUUUAUACAAUUAUCUGGAGCAGCUGUUUAACUAAUGAAGUGGAGUACAAGACAUGUGAGGUCUCUCAAUCUAGAGGGAGGUGCAGGUGUUGGUGGGUGUGAUAGGUUUUCCUCACUAUGACCAAAAUACUGGACAAGAACAACACAGAAUAGGCCAAGUUCAUUUUGGCUCAUGGUUUCAAGGGUGGGCUGAGUCCAUAUCUCUAGGCCCAAGAUGAGGCCGAACAUCAUGGCAGCAGAGUGUGGUGGAGCAGCACUUCUUCAAUCAUGCAGGGCCAGGAAACAGAGAUAGUAAGAGGAAGGGGCCAGGAAAAGAUGCAACCUUUCAGGACAUGCCCUCAGUGACCCACCUCCUCUAGCCACACCCCACCUACCUACAGUUAGCACCUAGUCCAUUCAAACUAGGACUGAUUAGGUUACAGGUCUCAAAAUAUGAUCAUUUCUCCUCUGAAUAUUUCUGAAUUGUUACAGGAGCUUUCAGUGGACACCUUACAUCCAGACCACAGCAGUGGGUAAGGCUUUG
RNAcentral lists this long non-coding RNA (829 nucleotides) under Marmota monax (woodchuck). Lineage: Eukaryota; Metazoa; Chordata; Mammalia; Rodentia; Sciuridae. The record is from RNAcentral.